CCUACGGGCGGCAGCAGUGGGGAAUAUUGGGCAAUGGAGGAAACUCUGACCCAGCAACGCCGCGUGAACGAUGAAGGUCUUCGGAUUGUAAAGUUCUUUUCUAAGGGAAGAAGAAAGUGACGGUACCUUAGGAAUAAGCUUCGGCUAACUACGUGCCAGCAGCCGCGGUAAUACGUAGGAGGCGAGCGUUAUCCGGAAUGACUGGGCGUAUAGGGUGCGUAGGUGGUUUGGCAAGUUAGUAGCGUAACUCCCAGGCUCAACCUUGGAACUACUUCGAAAACUAUUGGACUUGAGUGCAGGAGGGGCAAGCGGAAUUCCAGGUGAAGCGGUGAAAUGCGUAGAUAUUAGGAGGAACACCAGUGGCGAAGGCGGGUUGCUGG
This 380-nucleotide ribosomal RNA is filed under the name uncultured bacterium. RNAcentral describes it as "partial 16S ribosomal RNA". It matches the Rfam family "Bacterial small subunit ribosomal RNA", at positions 338 to 732 of the family's 1533-position model. The record is from RNAcentral.